RNAcentral lists this non-coding RNA (25 nucleotides) under Cricetulus griseus (Chinese hamster). Lineage: Eukaryota; Metazoa; Chordata; Mammalia; Rodentia; Cricetidae. The record is from RNAcentral.
UCAUUUAAGGAACAGAGAAGCUACU